GACGAACGCUGGCGGCGUGCUUAACACAUGCAAGUCGAACGGAAAGGCCUUUUCGGAGGUACUCGAGUGGCGAACGGGUGUGUAACACGUGGGUGAUCUGCCCUGCACUCUGGGAUAAGCCUGGGAAACUGGGUCUAAUACCGGAUAGGACCGCACUUUAGUGUGUGUGGUGGAAAGUUUUUUCGGUGUAGGAUGAGCCCGCGGCCUAUCAGCUUGUUGGUGGGGUAAUGGCCUACCAAGGCGGCGACGGGUAGCCGGACUGAGAGGUUGGUCGGCCACAUGGGGGCUGAGAUGCGGCCCAGACUGCUACGGGAGGCAGCAGUGGGGAAUAUAGCACAAUGGGCGAAAGCCUGAUGAAGCGACGCCGCGUGGGGGAUGACGGGCUUCGGGUUGUGAGCUCCUUUCGCCAGGGACGAAUCAUUUUGUGACGGUACCUAGAGAAGAAGCACCGGCUGACUACGUG
RNAcentral lists this ribosomal RNA (463 nucleotides) under uncultured bacterium. RNAcentral describes it as "partial 16S ribosomal RNA". It matches the Rfam family "Bacterial small subunit ribosomal RNA", at positions 28 to 507 of the family's 1533-position model. The record is from RNAcentral.